RNAcentral lists this ribosomal RNA (934 nucleotides) under Hermatomyces bauhiniae. Its description in RNAcentral is "SSU rRNA". It matches the Rfam family "Eukaryotic small subunit ribosomal RNA", at positions 161 to 1104 of the family's 1831-position model. Lineage: Eukaryota; Fungi; Ascomycota; Dothideomycetes; Pleosporales; Hermatomycetaceae. The record is from RNAcentral.
GAGCUAAUACAUGCUAAAAACCCCGACUUCGGGAGGGGUGUAUUUAUUAGAUAAAAAACCAAUGCCUUCGGGGCUCUUUGGUGAUUCAUGAUAACUUAACGGAUCGCAUGGCCUUGCGCCGGCGACGGUUCAUUCAAAUUUCUGCCCUAUCAACUUUCGAUGGUAAGGUAUUGGCUUACCAUGGUUUCAACGGGUAACGGGGAAUUAGGGUUCGAUUCCGGAGAGGGAGCCUGAGAAACGGCUACCACAUCCAAGGAAGGCAGCAGGCGCGCAAAUUACCCAAUCCCGACUCGGGGAGGUAGUGACAAUAAAUACUGAUACAGGGCUCUUUUGGGUCUUGUAAUCGGAAUGAGUACAAUUUAAACCCCUUAACGAGGAACAAUUGGAGGGCAAGUCUGGUGCCAGCAGCCGCGGUAAUUCCAGCUCCAAUAGCGUAUAUUAAAGUUGUUGCAGUUAAAAAGCUCGUAGUUGAACCUUGGGCCUGGCUGGCCGGUCCGCCUCACCGCGUGUACUGGUCCGGCCGGGCCUUUCCUUCUGGAGAGCCGCAUGCCCUUCACUGGGUGUGUUGGGGAACCAGGACUUUUACUUUGAAAAAAUUAGAGUGUUCAAAGCAGGCCUUUGCUCGAAUACGUUAGCAUGGAAUAAUAGAAUAGGACGUGCGGUCCUAUUUUGUUGGUUUCUAGGACCGCCGUAAUGAUUAAUAGGGAUAGUCGGGGGCAUCAGUAUUCAAUUGUCAGAGGUGAAAUUCUUGGAUUUAUUGAAGACUAACUACUGCGAAAGCAUUUGCCAAGGAUGUUUUCAUUAAUCAGUGAACGAAAGUUAGGGGAUCGAAGACGAUCAGAUACCGUCGUAGUCUUAACCGUAAACUAUGCCGACUAGGGAUCGGGCGAUGUUUCUAUCUUGACUCGCUCGGCACCUUACGAGAAAUCAAAGU